This 465-nucleotide ribosomal RNA is filed under the name uncultured bacterium. RNAcentral's name for it is "partial 16S ribosomal RNA". It matches the Rfam family "Bacterial small subunit ribosomal RNA", at positions 338 to 795 of the family's 1533-position model. The record is from RNAcentral.
CCUACGGGAGGCAGCAGUAGGGAAUCUUCCACAAUGGGCGAAAGCCUGAUGGAGCAACGCCGCGUGGGUGAAGAAGGUCUUCGGAUCGUAAAACCCUGUUGUUAGAGAAGAAAGUGCGUGAGAGUAACUGUUCACGUUUCGACGGUAUCUAACAAGAAAGCCACGGCUAACGACGUGCCAGCAGCCGCGGUAAUACGUAGGUGGCAAGCGUUAUCCGGAUUUAUUGGGCGUAAAGGGAACGCAGGCGGUCUUUUAAGUCUGAUGUGAAAGCCUUCGGCUUAACCGGAGUAGUGCAUUGGAAACUGGGAGACUUGAGUGCAGAAGAGGAGAGUGGAACUCCAUGUGUAGCGGUAAAAUGCGUAGAUAUAUGGAAGAACACCAGUGGCGAAAGCGGCUCUCUGGUCUGUAACUGACGCUGAGGUUCGAAAGCGUGGGUAGCAAACAGGAUUAGAUACCCGAGUAGUC